CGGGUGAGUAACGCGUGAGGAACCUGCCUCAAAGAGGGGGACAACAGUUGGAAAGACUGCUAAUACCGCAUAAGCCCACAGCUCGGCAUCGAGCAGAGGGAAAAGGAGUGAUCCGCUUUGAGAUGGCCUCGCGUCCGAUUAGCUAUUGGUGAGGUAACGGCCCACCAAGGCGACGAUCGGUAGCCGGACUGGGAGGUUGAACGGCCACAUUGGGACUGAGACACGGCCCAG
RNAcentral lists this ribosomal RNA (231 nucleotides) under uncultured bacterium. RNAcentral's name for it is "partial 16S ribosomal RNA". It matches the Rfam family "Bacterial small subunit ribosomal RNA", at positions 103 to 334 of the family's 1533-position model. The record is from RNAcentral.